Molecule: microRNA precursor, 114 nt
Filed under: Otolemur garnettii (small-eared galago)
Lineage: Eukaryota; Metazoa; Chordata; Mammalia; Primates; Galagidae
Description: miRNA (ENSOGAG00000032928.1)
Source: RNAcentral
AGAUAUUUUUCUAAACUCUCUCUCUCUCUAUAUAUAUAUGUGUGUGUGUGUGUGUCUGUGUGUGUAUGUGUAUAUAUAUACGCACACACAAAUAUGUGUGUAUAUACAUAUAUA